GAGUUUGAUCAUGGCUCAGAACGAACGCUGGCGGCGUGGAUAAGACAUGCAAGUCGAACGGGACAGUCUUGUAGCAAUAUGAGACUGUUCAGUGGCGAACGGGUGCGUAACACGUGGGUCACAUUCCGGGAAGUGAGAAAUAGCCCAGGGAAACUUGGAUUAAUAUCUCAUGUGGUCGCAAGACUAAAGGCGCAAGCCGCUUCCUGAUUGGCCCGCGGCCUAUCAGCUAGUUGGUGAGGUAAUGGCUCACCAAGGCAACGACGGGUAGCUGGUCUGAGAGGACGACCAGCCACACUGGAACUGAGACACGGUCCAGACACCUACGGGUGGCAGCAGUCGAGAAUCUUUCACAAUGGGCGAAAGCCUGACGCAGCGACGCCGCGUGAGCGAUGAAGGCCCUCGGGUUGUAAAGCUCUGUGGAGAGGGAAGAAUAAGGGUACGUUAACACCGUGCUCGAUGACGGUACCUCUUUAGCAAGCACCGGCUAACUCUGUGCCAGC
This 500-nucleotide ribosomal RNA is filed under the name uncultured Verrucomicrobium sp. RNAcentral's name for it is "bacterial SSU rRNA". It matches the Rfam family "Bacterial small subunit ribosomal RNA", at positions 9 to 512 of the family's 1533-position model. The record is from RNAcentral. Lineage: Bacteria; Pseudomonadati; Verrucomicrobiota; Verrucomicrobiia; Verrucomicrobiales; Verrucomicrobiaceae.